AUUGAACGCUGGCGGCAGGCCUAACACAUGCAAGUCGAGCGGAUGAAGGGAGCUUGCUCCUGGAUUCAGCGGCGGACGGGUGAGGAAUGCCUAGGAAUCUGCCUGGCAGUGGGGGAUAACGUCCGGAAACGGGCGCUAAUACCGCAUACGUCCUGAGGGAGAAAGUGGGGGAUCUUCGGACCUCACGCUAUCAGAUGAGCCUAGGUCGGAUUAGCUAGUUGGUGGGGUAAAGGCCUACCAAGGCGACGAUCCGUAACUGGUCUGAGAGGAUGAUCAGUCACACUGGAACUGAGACACGGUCCAGACUCCUACGGGAGGCAGCAGUGGGGAAUAUUGGACAAUGGGCGAAAGCCUGAUCCAGCCAUGCCGCGUGUGUGAAGAAGGUCUUCGGAUUGUAAAGCACUUUAAGUUGGGAGGAAGGGCAGUAAGUUAAUACCUUGCUGUUUUGACGUUACCAACAGAAUAAGCACCGGCUAACUUCGUG
This 484-nucleotide ribosomal RNA is filed under the name uncultured bacterium. RNAcentral's name for it is "partial 16S ribosomal RNA". It matches the Rfam family "Bacterial small subunit ribosomal RNA", at positions 30 to 507 of the family's 1533-position model. The record is from RNAcentral.